Molecule: ribosomal RNA, 235 nt
Filed under: Nosema granulosis
Lineage: Eukaryota; Fungi; Microsporidia; Nosematidae
Description: partial small subunit ribosomal RNA
Rfam family: Microsporidia small subunit ribosomal RNA
Source: RNAcentral
UUUGAUGUAUUAGGAUUAUAACUAUGUUAAAUUAUAGAUAACAAUAAUACAAUAAGAAUAAGAUCUAUCAGUUAGUUGUUAAGGUAAUGGCUUAACAAGACUAUGACGGAUAACGGUAUUACUUUGUAAUAUUCCGGAGAAGGAGCCUGAGAGAUUGCUACUAAGUCUAAGGAUUGCAGCAGGGGCGAAACUUGACCUAUGAUAUGAUAUUGAGGCAGUUAUGAGUAGUAUUUUU